AAAAUUUUAGUUUAAUUUAAAAUUUUUUUUUUACAAAAAAAAGUUAUUAAUUAAUUUAUUAAAUUUUA
This 68-nucleotide transfer RNA is filed under the name Eurytoma sp. ZJUH_2016013. RNAcentral describes it as "tRNA-Val". Lineage: Eukaryota; Metazoa; Arthropoda; Insecta; Hymenoptera; Eurytomidae. The record is from RNAcentral.